RNAcentral lists this ribosomal RNA (775 nucleotides) under uncultured Neocallimastigales. RNAcentral's name for it is "partial large subunit ribosomal RNA". It matches the Rfam family "Eukaryotic large subunit ribosomal RNA", at positions 1 to 612 of the family's 3401-position model. The record is from RNAcentral. Lineage: Eukaryota; Fungi; Neocallimastigomycota; Neocallimastigomycetes; Neocallimastigales.
AGAGAUGUGUGAUGACGCAUAUCAAUAAGGGAGGAAAAGAAACUAACAAGGAUUCCCUUAGUAACGGCGAGUGAAGCGGGAAGAGCUCAAAUUUGAAAUCUUCAAGGUCUUACCUUGACGAAUUGUAGUUUAUAGAAGUGUUUUCUGUUAGAGAGGUGGUAAAAGUUCUUUGGAAUAGGACAUCAUAGAGGGUGAGAAUCCCGUAUUUGGAUCACUUUCUACUAGCGUUGUGAUACACUUUCAAGAGUCGGAUUGUUUGGGAAUGCAGUCCAAAAUGGGUGGUAAAUUUCAUCUAAAGCUAAAUAUUGGCGAGAGACCGAUAGCGAACAAGUACCGUGAGGGAAAGAUGAAAAGAACUUUGAAAAGAGAGUUAAACAGUACGUGAAAUUGUCAAAAGGGAAGCGUUUGACACCAGUGUUGUUUUUCUCGAAAAUCAAUUAUGAAUGGCUUGAUUUUAAGUUUCAUGACCUUAAAAGCUUGUUUCUUAUUUUUCAUGUCUUUCGUAAUGCACUUUUCGGUUAACAAGUCAACAUCAAUUUCUUUUGUUGUAAAAGGGUAUAGAGGAAGGUGGCUUUCUUUUCGGAGAAAGUGUUUAUAGCCUUUGGCUUCUACAAUCGGAGAGAUUGAGGUCUGCAGCGUAGAUCCUUCGGGGUUAGAUACGUAGAUGCUAAGUUAUAGUUUUUUAUAGACAACUUGUUGACUAUGAUUAAUCAUGUAGCUUACUCGUUUACGCUAUUUUACCUACGCUUAGGAUGUUGAUAGUCACAGCGUGUAC